AGUAACGCGUAAGAACUUGCCCUUUAGACUGGGAGUAACAGAGGGAAACUUCUGAUAAUACUGGAUAAGUUAGUAUAUCGCAUGAUAUGCAAAUGAAAGCUACGGCACUAAAGGAGAGCUUUGCGUCCUAUUAGCUAGUUGGUAAGGUAAGAGCUUACCAAGGCGGUGAUAGGUAGCCGGCCUGAGAGGGUGGACGGCCACAAGGGGACUGAGAUACGGCCCUUACUCCUACGGGAGGCAGCAGCG
This 246-nucleotide ribosomal RNA is filed under the name uncultured Leptotrichia sp. Its description in RNAcentral is "partial 16S ribosomal RNA". It matches the Rfam family "Bacterial small subunit ribosomal RNA", at positions 109 to 356 of the family's 1533-position model. The record is from RNAcentral. Lineage: Bacteria; Fusobacteriati; Fusobacteriota; Fusobacteriia; Fusobacteriales; Leptotrichiaceae.